GAUGAACGCUGGCGGCGUGCCUAAUACAUGCAAGUCGAGCGAACGGACGAGAAGCUUGCUUCUCUGAUGUUAGCGGCGGACGGGGGAGUAACACGUGGAUAACCUACCUAUAAGACUGGGAUAACUUCGGGAAACCGGAGCUAAGACCGGAUUAUAGUUUGAACCGCAUGGUUCAAAAGUGAAAGACGGUCUUGCUGUCACUGAUAGAUGGAUCCGCGCUGCCUUAGCUAGUUGGUAAGGUAACGGCUUACCAAGGCAACGAUGCAUAGCCGACCUGAGAGGGUGAUCGGCCACACUGGAACUGAGACACGGUCCAGACUCCUACGGGAGGCAGCAGUAGGGAAUCUUCCGCAAUGGGCGAAAGCCUGACGGAGCAACGCCGCGUGAGUGAUGAAGGUCUUCGGAUCGUAAAACUCUGUUAUUAGGGAAGAACAUAUGUGUAAGUAACUGUGCACAUCUUGACGGUACCUAAUCAGAAAGCCACGGCUAACUACGUG
Molecule: ribosomal RNA, 497 nt
Filed under: uncultured bacterium
Lineage: Bacteria
Description: partial 16S ribosomal RNA
Rfam family: Bacterial small subunit ribosomal RNA
Source: RNAcentral